RNAcentral lists this ribosomal RNA (254 nucleotides) under uncultured bacterium. Its description in RNAcentral is "partial 16S ribosomal RNA". It matches the Rfam family "Bacterial small subunit ribosomal RNA", at positions 524 to 776 of the family's 1533-position model. The record is from RNAcentral.
UACGUAGGGUCCGAGCGUUGUCCGGAUUUAUUGGGCGUAAAGAGCUCGUAGGCGGUUCCGUAAGUCAGAUGUGAAAACUCAGGGCUCAACCCGGAGACGCCAUCUGAUACUGCGGUGACUGGAGUCUGGUAGGGGAACACGGAAUUCCUGGUGUAGCGGUGAAAUGCGCAGAUAUCGAGAGGAACACCUGCGGCGAAGGCGGGUUGCUGGGCUGAUACUGACGCUGAGGCGCGAAAGCCAGGGGAGCGAACGGG